AACUCAAAGUGAAGUUGAAAAUGUGUCAUUCCAACUAUUCCAGAAGUGUUCAUAUUAGGACUACCAUAUUUGAGCAACAGAAAACCAGAACAUCGGAAAGCAGCAUGGCUCUCUGGGAAAAAAAUCAAUAAAAUAUGUGAUCUUA
Pantherophis guttatus is the source of this 145-nucleotide long non-coding RNA. RefSeq lists it as uncharacterized. NCBI's taxonomy places the organism in Eukaryota, Metazoa, Chordata, Lepidosauria, Squamata, Colubridae. The record is from RefSeq and is a predicted model, not a curated record.